AGAUUGAACGCUGGCGGCAUGCCUAACACAUGCAAGUCGAACGGGAGUAGCAAUACUCUAGUGGCGGACGGGUGAGGAAUACGUAGGAAUUUGCCCUUAAGUGGGGGAUAACCCGGGGAAACCCGGAUUAAUACCGCAUGACCUCGAAAGAGCAAAGUGGGGGAUCGCAAGACCUCACGCUUUUGGAGAAGCCUACGUCGGAUUAGCUAGUUGGUGAGGUAAUGGCUCACCAAGGCGACGAUCCGUAACUGGUCUGAGAGGAUGAUCAGUCGCACCGGAACUGAGACACGGUCCGGACUCCGUACGGGAGGCAGCGAGGUAGGGGAAUAGUGGACAAGUGGGCGCAAGCCUGAUCCAGCAAGUCGCCGUCGUGUGUAGAAGGAAGGCCGUU
RNAcentral lists this ribosomal RNA (391 nucleotides) under uncultured soil bacterium. RNAcentral describes it as "bacterial SSU rRNA". It matches the Rfam family "Bacterial small subunit ribosomal RNA", at positions 26 to 419 of the family's 1533-position model. The record is from RNAcentral.